AGAGUUNGAUCCUGGCUCAGGNNAANNANNGGNGGCGUGCUUAACACAUGCAAGUCGAACGAGANCAGNNAANAAGCUUGCUUCUUAUCGAUUCGAGUGGCAAACGGGUGAGUAACGCGUAAGCAACCUGCCCUCUAGAUGGGGACAACAGCUGGAAACGGCUGCUAAUAUCGAAUACGUUCUUUCUGUCNCAUGGCAGAAGGAAGAAAGGGAGGCUCUUCGGAGCUUUCGCUGGAGGAGGGGCUUGCGUCUGAUUAGCUAAUUGGAGGGGGUAACGGCCC
RNAcentral lists this ribosomal RNA (281 nucleotides) under uncultured bacterium. RNAcentral describes it as "partial 16S ribosomal RNA". It matches the Rfam family "Bacterial small subunit ribosomal RNA", at positions 8 to 266 of the family's 1533-position model. The record is from RNAcentral.